Molecule: long non-coding RNA, 478 nt
Organism: Physeter macrocephalus (sperm whale)
Lineage: Eukaryota; Metazoa; Chordata; Mammalia; Artiodactyla; Physeteridae
Exons: 3
Source: RefSeq, a predicted model, not a curated record
GGAAGGCCAAAGGUGGCAUUCUAAACAUAACAGCAUCAAGUGAAACCCAGAAGUACCAACAGGACAAAUUUGGAAGGCUUACAAGAGUUUAACACCUGGCACACAAGCAUGUGCAAAUAUUUGUCAACUUUGAUAUAAACAGCAGCUGAACCAGGGGACGCGGUUCAAUCCCUGGACGGAGAACUAAGAUCCCACAUACCCCGGGACAACUAAGCUCGCACACGCCACAACUACUGAGCCCCCACGCCACAACUAGAGAGUCCGCAUGGUGCAAACUACAGAGCCCACGCACUCUGGAGCCUAUGAGCUCUGGAGCCUGUGCGUCACAACUAGAGAGAGGAAACCCACACACCACGACUAGAGAGAAGUCCGUGUGCCGCAACGAAGAGCUCGAGCACCGCAAGGAUCCUGCAUACAGCAACGAAGAUCCCACGUGCUGAAACUAAGACCCAACACAGCCAAAAAUAUAAAUAAAUAA